AUACGGAGGGUGCAAGCGUUAUCCGGAUUCAUUGGGUUUAAAGGGUGCGCAGGCGGACUUGUAAGUCAGUGGUGAAAUCCCGGGGCUCAACCUCGGAACUGCCAUUGAUACUGCAAGUCUUGAGUUUGGUUGAAGUGGGCGGAAUGUAGCAUGUAGCGGUGAAAUGCAUAGAUAUGCUACAGAACACCGAUCGCGAAGGCAGCUCACUAAACCAACACUGACGCUCAGGCACGAAAGCGUGGGGAGCGAACAGGAUUAGAUACCCCGGUAGUCC
This 274-nucleotide ribosomal RNA is filed under the name uncultured bacterium. RNAcentral describes it as "partial 16S ribosomal RNA". It matches the Rfam family "Bacterial small subunit ribosomal RNA", at positions 523 to 796 of the family's 1533-position model. The record is from RNAcentral.